RNAcentral lists this transfer RNA (64 nucleotides) under Sistrurus catenatus (massasauga). Its description in RNAcentral is "tRNA-Ala". It matches the Rfam family "tRNA". Rfam says of the family: Transfer RNA (tRNA) molecules are approximately 80 nucleotides in length. Lineage: Eukaryota; Metazoa; Chordata; Lepidosauria; Squamata; Viperidae. The record is from RNAcentral.
AGAGCUUUAGUUUAGUUAAAAUGUCUGUGUUGCAAGCAGGAGAUGUGAUUUAUUGCAAGUUCUA